GAAGGGACCUAGCGUAGUUCGGAAUUACUGGGCUUAAAGAGUUCGCAGGUGGUUAAAAAAGUUGGUGGUGAAAUCCCAGAGCUUAACUCUGGAACUGCCAUCAAAACUUUUUAGCUAGAGUAUGAUAGAGGAAAGCAGAAUUUCUAGUGUAGAGGUGAAAUUCGUAGAUAUUAGAAAGAAUACCGAUUGCGAAGGCAGCUUUCUGGAUCAUUACUGACACUGAGGAACGAAAGCAUGGGUAGCGAAGAGGAUUAGAUACCCUCGUAGUCCAUGCCGUAAACGAUGUGUGUUAGACGUUGGAAAUUUAUUUUCUGUGUCGCAGCGAAAGCAAUAAACACACCGCCUGGGGAGUACGACCGCAAGGUUAAAACUCAAAUGAAUUGACGGGGACCCGCACAAGUAGUGGAGCAUGUGGUUUAAUUCGAAGAUACGCGCAGAACCUUACCAACACUUGACAUGUUCGUCGCGACUUUAAGAGAUUAAAGUUUUCGGUUCGGCCGGACGAAACACAGGUGCUGCAUGGCUGUCGUCAGCUCGUGUCGUGAGAUGUUGGGUUAAGUCCCGCAACGAGCGCAACCCUUACUUUUAGUUGCCAUCAUUUAGCUUGGCACUCUGAAAGAACUGCCAGUGAUAAGC
Molecule: ribosomal RNA, 636 nt
Filed under: uncultured Alphaproteobacteria bacterium
Lineage: Bacteria; Pseudomonadati; Pseudomonadota; Alphaproteobacteria
Description: bacterial SSU rRNA
Rfam family: Bacterial small subunit ribosomal RNA
Source: RNAcentral